Molecule: long non-coding RNA, 453 nt
Organism: Fukomys damarensis (Damara mole-rat)
Lineage: Eukaryota; Metazoa; Chordata; Mammalia; Rodentia; Bathyergidae
Exons: 4
Source: RefSeq, a predicted model, not a curated record
GAGCUCACGCGCACGCCGCCGGGUGAUCGCAGACAGGCAGUAACUUUAAUUUUUCAAAUGAAAUCUUUGUUGGGACCAAAAUGAAUGGAUGUGAUGAGCAGACCCCUGAGGCACAGGAAGCAGCUAUGGCUUGAGAAGAGCACUCUGCUGCUUGUACACUGCUGGAGCAUCCUGUAUUGAGACAGAGAUAAAUGAGCCUGCUUUGCCCACAAGCCGCCUUCCACACCUGCGUUUGCUACGUCAAGCUACGGUCUCAUUGCUACUGUCUCAUGUCUCCAAAUAGGAAGGCAUCACACUAAAUGGAAUGGCAACAUUUACAAACAUGAGUUUUAUUAUGCAAUGAAUAAGAGACGAAAUGAAAUCCUCAAUAGAAUAAAAUGGUGAUGGCAAUAGAAGAGGAAAGCCAGGCCAAUGACCUGUGAGGAAUACAAUGAUACCACCCCAUGCAGCAAC